This 652-nucleotide long non-coding RNA is filed under the name Rattus norvegicus (Norway rat). RNAcentral's name for it is "long non-coding RNA NONRATT017325". Lineage: Eukaryota; Metazoa; Chordata; Mammalia; Rodentia; Muridae. The record is from RNAcentral.
CAGCAUCCAUCCUGCUUCUGCCUCGGGGUUAGAAUUGGUCUUAGAGACGGGGCAGUGAGGACCUGGGUGGGGGUGGUUGGUGCCUGUGAGUUUUCAGUCUAAAAAGAGAAGCGUCUCAACAAAAUAACUGCAUGUGCACUGAUGGAUAGAUGUUGCCUGCUAGCAACAGUUACUCUAAAACCCUAGUCCAGGAACCUUAAACUCUGGCCCAACCAGUGUCUCCCUGCCCAAUUGUCCGUGGCUUCCACCAAGCUUGCACCCAAGGUCCUCGGGACACGCCCACACUUGCCAUCCUGUGCUGGGAUCUCUACCCGGGAGAGGUCAGCUUCUCUGUGCCCUCUUCAUGGACACACACCCCGUCAACCCUGGCAGACUUCUCUGUCAGAUGUGGCACCCUCCUUUGAGCACCCGUGGGUGAUCUGCAGUUCUCUUGUUUCCCCUCUGCAAUUGUAUGCAUAGAGAAAAAGAUUCCAGCCCAGACGCUGCACGGCUCAACAUGAGAGCUCCAGGAGAGGACCUGAGUUCAGUUCCUACCACUCGGAUCGCAUGGCUCAAACCACCUAUAGCCAGCGCCUUCUUCUGGACUCCAAAGACCCUCUCACACAUACAGGCAUUAAAAAAAAAACAUAAAUAAAAACAAGUGUUUUGUUUU